This 337-nucleotide unclassified non-coding RNA is filed under the name soil metagenome. Its description in RNAcentral is "partial contains 5.8S ribosomal RNA, internal transcribed spacer 2, and large subunit ribosomal RNA". The stretch from base 1 to 121 matches the Rfam family "5.8S ribosomal RNA", at positions 35 to 154 of the family's 154-position model. The record is from RNAcentral.
GAUGAAGAACGUAGCGAAAUGCGAUAAGUAAUGCGAAUUGCAGAAUUUCCGUGAGUCAUCGAAUCUUUGAACGCACAUUGCGCCCCUUGGUAUUCCAUGGGGCAUGCCUGUUCGAGCGUCAUUUGUACCCUCCAGCCCUGCUGGGUGUUGGGCGUUUGUUCCGCCGCGUGCGUGAACUCGCCUCAAAUACAUUGGCAGCCCGCCGUCCCGUGUGGGAGCGCAGCACAUUUUGCGCUCUCCGCUGCAGACGGCGGCAUCCACAAGUCUACACCUUUACGCUUGACCUCGGAUCAGGUAGGGAUACCCGCUGAACUUAAGCAUAUCAAUAAGCGGAGGA